CAGCAGUCGCCGCGGGAAUACGUAGGGUGCAAGCGUUAAUCGGAAUUACUGGGCGUAAAGCGUGCGCAGGCGGUUAUAUAAGACAGAUGUGAAAUCCCCGGGCUCAACCUGGGAACUGCAUUUGUGACUGUAUAGCUAGAGUACGGCAGAGGGGGAUGGAAUUCCGCGUGUAGCAGUGAAAUGCGUAGAUAUGCGGAGGAACACCGAUGGCGAAGGCAAUCCCCUGGGCCUGUACUGACGCUCAUGCACGAAAGCGUGGGGAGCAAACAGGAUUAGAUACCCGCGUAGUCCCUGUCUCUUAUAC
Molecule: ribosomal RNA, 304 nt
Filed under: uncultured bacterium
Lineage: Bacteria
Description: partial 16S ribosomal RNA
Rfam family: Bacterial small subunit ribosomal RNA
Source: RNAcentral